UACGAAGGGGGCUAGCGUUGUUCGGAAUUACUGGGCGUAAAGCGCGCGCAGGCGGUCUUCCAAGUCAGUGGUGAAAGCCCGGAGCUCAACUCCGGAAUUGCCAUUGAAACUGUUAGACUUGAGGAUGAGAGAGGUGAGCGGAAUUCCCAGUGUAGAGGUGAAAUUCGUAGAUAUUGGGAAGAACACCGGUGGCGAAGGCGGCUCACUGGCUCAUUACUGACGCUCAGGCGCGAUAGCGUGGGGAUCAAACAGG
RNAcentral lists this ribosomal RNA (253 nucleotides) under uncultured bacterium. RNAcentral describes it as "partial 16S ribosomal RNA". It matches the Rfam family "Bacterial small subunit ribosomal RNA", at positions 524 to 776 of the family's 1533-position model. The record is from RNAcentral.